RNAcentral lists this ribosomal RNA (331 nucleotides) under uncultured eukaryote. Its description in RNAcentral is "partial 18S ribosomal RNA". It matches the Rfam family "Eukaryotic small subunit ribosomal RNA", at positions 1470 to 1796 of the family's 1831-position model. The record is from RNAcentral.
CCCUUAGAUGUUCUGGGCCGCACGCGCGCUACACUGUUCGACGCAGCUAGUCUUAACCUUGACCGAAAGGUUUGGGUAAUCUUCAGCAAAGUCGAACGUGAUGGGGAUCGAUCAUUGCAAUUAUUGAUCGUGAACGAGGAAUUCCUAGUAAGUGCAAGUCAUCAGCUUGCGCUGAUUACGUCCCUGCCCUUUGUACACACCGCCCGUCGCUACUACCGAUUGAAUGGUUUAGUGAGAUCUCUGGAUUGACGCUGGCUAGGGGGCGACCCUUGGCCAGGCUGUCGAGAAACUGCUCAAACUUGAUCAUUUAGAGGAAGUAAAAGUCGUAACA